CUUUGAUCAUGGCUCAGGAUGAACGCUGGCGGCGUGCCUAAUACAUGCAAGUCGAACGAAACUUCUUUAUCACCGAGUGCUUGCACUCACCGAUGAAGAGUUGAGUGGCGAACGGGUGAGUAACACGUGGGCAACCUGCCCGAAAGAGGGGGAUAACACUUGGAAACAGGUGCUAAUACCGCAUAACCAUGAACACCGCAUGGUGUUUAUGUGAAAGGUGGUUUCGGCUACCGCUUUCGGAUGGGCCCGCGGCGCAUUAGCUAGUUGGUGGGGUAAAGGCUUACCAAGGCAAUGAUGCGUAGCCGAACUGAGAGGUUGAUCGGCCACAUUGGGACUGAGACACGGCCCAAACUCCUACGGGAGGCAGCAGUAGGGAAUCUUCCACAAUGGGCGAAAGCCUGAUGGAGCAACGCCGCGUGGGUGAAGAAGGUCUUCGGAUCGUAAAACCCUGUUGUCAGAGAAGAAAGUGCAUGAGAGUAACUGUUCAUGUUUCGACGGUAUCUGACCAGAAAGCCACGGCUAACUACGUGCCAGCAGCCGCGGUAAUACGUAGGUGGCAAGCGUUAUCCGGAUUUAUUGGGCGUAAAGGGAACGCAGGCGGUCUUUUAAGUCUGAUGUGAAAGCCUUCGGCUUAACCGGAGUAGUGCAUUGGGAACUGGGAGACUUGAGUGCAGAAGAGGAGAGUGGAACUCCAUGUGCAGCGGUGAAAUGCGUAGAUAUAUGGAAGAACACCAGUGGCGAAAGCGGCUCUCUGGUCUGUAACUGACGCUGAGGUUCGAAAGCGUGGGUAGCAAACAGGAUUAGAUACCCUGGUAGUCCACGCCGUAAACGAUGAAUGCUAAGUGUUGGAGGGUUUCCGCCCUUCAGUGCUGCAGUUAACACAAUAAGCAUUCCGCCUGGGGAGUACGACCGCAAGGUUGCAACUCAAAGGAAUUGACGGA
Molecule: ribosomal RNA, 941 nt
Filed under: uncultured Bacillota bacterium
Lineage: Bacteria; Bacillati; Bacillota
Description: bacterial SSU rRNA
Rfam family: Bacterial small subunit ribosomal RNA
Source: RNAcentral